Long non-coding RNA from Manihot esculenta (cassava), 400 nucleotides. RefSeq lists it as uncharacterized. The record is from RefSeq and is a predicted model, not a curated record. The transcript has 2 exons. Lineage: Eukaryota; Viridiplantae; Streptophyta; Magnoliopsida; Malpighiales; Euphorbiaceae.
CUCAAUUCUUCUUCUUAUAUAUCUCUAAACAACCAUGUCUUCUUACAUUUAGAAUCCUUCUUCAGUUCCAUCCCAAAACGACAUCACAGAAUCAACCCAUUCCAGCUUCUUACGUCCUUAGCAUAUGGAGAAAAAGAAGAAAGAUAAGUAGAACCUGUGCUGCUGCUUUGCUUGAUGGGAUUUACUAUCUGCUGUGCACAAAACCUAACAUGGCCAUGGACGAUAGGCCUAUGUUUCUUCUAGACCUAUAUAUGUCUUAGCGAGUAUCCAGCUCCAAAAUUUAAUAUACACAGCAUCUACAGUCGAUAGACAGUCUCGUACAUGGUUAAUUGUUGGUUUAUUUCUUAAUCUUCUUUAUGUUGAUGAUAUAAAGGACUUAAACUAGACGUUAACAACUCCA